AUAAUACUCACUCCGUCCGGAAAUACUUGUCUUAGAAAUGGAUAAAAUAGAUGUAUCUAUAACUAAAAUAAGUUUACAUACAAUCAUUUUUAAGACAAGUAUUUUCGAACGGAAGGAGUAGUAU
Molecule: non-coding RNA, 124 nt
Organism: Triticum aestivum (bread wheat)
Lineage: Eukaryota; Viridiplantae; Streptophyta; Magnoliopsida; Poales; Poaceae
Source: Rfam